This 508-nucleotide ribosomal RNA is filed under the name Penicillium sp. DY115-21-10-M9. RNAcentral's name for it is "eukaryotic LSU rRNA". The stretch from base 139 to 291 matches the Rfam family "5.8S ribosomal RNA". The record is from RNAcentral. Lineage: Eukaryota; Fungi; Ascomycota; Eurotiomycetes; Eurotiales; Aspergillaceae.
UUUAUUUUACCUUGUUGCUUCGGCGGGCCCGCCUUAACUGGCCGCCGGGGGGCUUACGCCCCCGGGCCCGCGCCCGCCGAAGACACCCUCGAACUCUGUCUGAAGAUUGUAGUCUGAGUGAAAAUAUAAAUUAUUUAAAACUUUCAACAACGGAUCUCUUGGUUCCGGCAUCGAUGAAGAACGCAGCGAAAUGCGAUACGUAAUGUGAAUUGCAAAUUCAGUGAAUCAUCGAGUCUUUGAACGCACAUUGCGCCCCCUGGUAUUCCGGGGGGCAUGCCUGUCCGAGCGUCAUUGCUGCCCUCAAGCACGGCUUGUGUGUUGGGCCCCGUCCUCCGAUCCCGGGGGACGGGCCCGAAAGGCAGCGGCGGCACCGCGUCCGGUCCUCGAGCGUAUGGGGCUUUGUCACCCGCUCUGUAGGCCCGGCCGGCGCUUGCCGAUCAACCCGAAUUUUUAUCCAGGUUGACCUCGGAUCAGGUAGGGAUACCCGCUGAACUUAAGCAUAUCAAUA